This 243-nucleotide ribosomal RNA is filed under the name Triticum aestivum (bread wheat). RNAcentral describes it as "partial small subunit ribosomal RNA". Lineage: Eukaryota; Viridiplantae; Streptophyta; Magnoliopsida; Poales; Poaceae. The record is from RNAcentral.
AUGGCCAUGGUGACUCGGUAUUCUUGGAGGAAGAGAAGAGGGAGGGAGAUGAGGUGGGAUGGAGAGAAGAGAAGGGAAAAUAGGGACUGCGUGACUACCUACUGCUGGUCCGGCGGCGGCUCCGGUACUCUCUCCCUCAGUCUAAGAUCUCUGGGAAGAAAUUAUUUUAACAAUAUUCACUCUAUUGUGCUUAUUGCGGUCAUGUGGAAUAUAUGGAAGCAAAGGAACUCCAAGCUCUUCUAG